CCUACGGGGGGCUGCAGUGGGGAAUAUUGGACAAUGGGGGCAACCCUGAUCCAGCCAUGCCGCGUGUGUGAAGAAGGCCCUCGGGUUGUAAAGCACUUUCAGUGAGGAAGAACGCCUGGUGGUUAAUACCCAUCAGGAAAGACAUCACUCACAGAAGAAGCACCGGCUAACUCCGUGCCAGCAGCCGCGGUAAUACGGAGGGUGCGAGCGUUAAUCGGAAUUACUGGGCGUAAAGCGCGCGUAGGUGGCUUGAUAAGCCGGUUGUGAAAGCCCCGGGCUCAACCUGGGAACGGCAUCCGGAACUGUCAAGCUAGAGUGCAGGAGAGGAAGGUAGAAUUCCCGGUGUAGCGGUGAAAUGCGUAGAGCUCGGGAGGAAUACCAGUGGCGAAGGCGGCCUUCUGGACUGACACUGACACUGAGGUGCGAAAGCGUGGGUAGCGAACAGGAUUAGAUACCCGGGUUGUC
RNAcentral lists this ribosomal RNA (465 nucleotides) under Vreelandella stevensii. RNAcentral describes it as "partial 16S ribosomal RNA". It matches the Rfam family "Bacterial small subunit ribosomal RNA", at positions 338 to 795 of the family's 1533-position model. The record is from RNAcentral. Lineage: Bacteria; Pseudomonadati; Pseudomonadota; Gammaproteobacteria; Oceanospirillales; Halomonadaceae.